AAACUGUCGCAUCUCCAGGUAGAGUGAACAGCAUUUUGUAGCCGCACAAUACACUUUACGACGGAAGUGGAGAAGCGUUGAGGGAUUUCUUGGGGAGGCAUGAGGGUUUUCGGAAGUGGAGGAGGAUGCUGGUGGAGGAAGGAGGGUUGCGAUGUUUGGGAGUUUGUUAUUAUUCUUUCAUUCUUUGUUACAGAUAAUAUUUGCUAACCCAAAAUUUAGUUGGUGAAAGUUGUAUCAAUACAUACAGAGCAAUAUUGUCUCCUGUUAUUUGUUUUUUUUAGCAAUUUUUACAUCUUUGUUUCAUUCUUUAUUAUUAUUAUUAUUAUUAUGUAAGUAAGUUGAAAUUCUU
RNAcentral lists this long non-coding RNA (349 nucleotides) under Phaseolus vulgaris (common bean). Its description in RNAcentral is "long non-coding RNA (PVUL_LNC002229)". Lineage: Eukaryota; Viridiplantae; Streptophyta; Magnoliopsida; Fabales; Fabaceae. The record is from RNAcentral.